This 495-nucleotide ribosomal RNA is filed under the name uncultured bacterium. Its description in RNAcentral is "bacterial SSU rRNA". It matches the Rfam family "Bacterial small subunit ribosomal RNA", at positions 30 to 507 of the family's 1533-position model. The record is from RNAcentral.
AUGAACGCUAGCGGCAGGCUUAAUACAUGCAAGUUGAGGGGCAGCAUGAUAUACGCGAGUAUAUUGAUGGCGACCGGCGGACGGGUGAGUAAUAGGUAGGAGACCUACCUCAUACAGGGGGAUAGCAUAGAGAAAUCUGUGGUAAUACCCCAUGAGGUUAUAUGAAUAGAGGCAUAUAAUCAAAGCAUAAGCGAUUAUGCGGUAUGAGGAGGGGCCUACUGACCAUUAGCUAGUUGGUGAGGUAAGGGCUCACCAAGGCGAAGAUGGUUAGGGGUUUUGAGAGAGAGACCCCCCACAUUGGAACUGAGAGACGGUCCAGACUCCUACGGGAGGCAGCAGUAGGGAAUAUUGGGCAAUGGGCGAAAGCCUGACCCAGCCAUGCCGCGUGAAGGAAGACGGCCUUAUGGGUUGUAAACUUCUUUACUACGCGAAUAGAGGUUAGUACGAGAUACUAAUAGGAAGGUAGUGUAGUAAAAAGCACCGGCUAACUCCGUG